UGAGUAAUCUGCCCUCGACACUGGGAUAGCCCGGGGAAACCCGGAUUAAUACCGGAUAGCCUUUCGAGCUCUCGGGCUCGUCAGAAAAGGNUGGCUUCGGCUUUCGGUUGAGGAUGAGCUUGCGGCGGAUUAGCUUGUUGGUGAGGUAACGGCUCACCAAGGCGACAAUCCGUAGCUGGUCUGAGAGGACGAUCAGCCACACGUGGGACUGAGACACCGGCCCAGACCUUCGUAACCGGGGAGG
RNAcentral lists this ribosomal RNA (244 nucleotides) under uncultured bacterium. RNAcentral describes it as "partial 16S ribosomal RNA". It matches the Rfam family "Bacterial small subunit ribosomal RNA", at positions 118 to 347 of the family's 1533-position model. The record is from RNAcentral.